AGUGAACGCUGGCGGUAGGCCUAACACAUGCAAGUCGAACGGCAGCACAGUAAGAGCUUGCUCUUACGGGUGGCGAGUGGCGGACGGGUGAGGAAUACAUCGGGAUCUACUUUUUCGUGGGGGAUAACGUAGGGAAACUUACGCUAAUACCGCAUACGGCCUACGGGUGAAAGCAGGGGAUCUUCGGACCUUGCGCGAUUGAAUGAGCCGAUGUCGGAUUAGCUAGUUGGCGGGGUAAAGGCCCACCAAGGCGACGAUCCGUAGCUGGUCUGAGAGGAUGAUCAGCCACACUGGAACUGAGACACGGUCCAGACUCCUACGGGAGGCAGCAGUGGGGAAUAUUGGACAAUGGGCGCAAGCCUGAUCCAGCCAUACCGCGUGGGUGAAGAAGGCCUUCGGGUUGUAAAGCCCUUUUGUUGGGAAAGAAAAGCAGCAGGUUAAUACCCCGCUGUUCUGACGGUACCCAAAGAAUAAGCACCGGCUAACUUCGUG
RNAcentral lists this ribosomal RNA (492 nucleotides) under uncultured bacterium. RNAcentral describes it as "partial 16S ribosomal RNA". It matches the Rfam family "Bacterial small subunit ribosomal RNA", at positions 29 to 507 of the family's 1533-position model. The record is from RNAcentral.